Molecule: ribosomal RNA, 383 nt
Filed under: uncultured bacterium
Lineage: Bacteria
Description: bacterial SSU rRNA
Rfam family: Bacterial small subunit ribosomal RNA
Source: RNAcentral
AUUGAACGCUGGCGGCAUGCUUUACACAUGCAAGUCGAACGGUAACAGGUCUUCGGAUGCUGACGAGUGGCGAACGGGUGAGUAAUGUAUCGGAACGUGCCCAGUAGUGGGGGAUAACUACUCGAAAGAGUGGCUAAUACCGCAUGAGAACCGAGGUUGAAAGUGGGGGACCGCAAGGCCUCACGCUACUGGAGCGGCCGAUAUCAGAUUAGGUAGUUGGUGGGGUAAAGGCCUACCAAGCCUGCGAUCUGUAGCUGGUCUGAGAGGACGACCAGCCACACUGGGACUGAGACACGGCCCAGACUCCUACGGGAGCAGCAGUGGGGAAUUUUGGACAAUGGGCGCAAGCCUGAUCCCAGCAAAUGCCGCGUGCAGGACGAAGG